UACAGAGGCCCCGAGCGUUAGGCGGAAUCACUGGGCUUAAAGCGUGUGUAGGUGGAUGCCUAAGUACCUUGUGAAAUCCCACGGCUUAACCGUGGAAUUGCUGGGUAUACUGGGUGUCUUGAGCCACUCAGGGGCUACCGGAACAAAUGGUGGAGCGGUGAAAUGCGUAGAUAGUCGGGAGGAACACCAGUGGCGAAGGCGGCUUUCUGGCCCGUUCUUGACGCUGAGGCGCGAAAGCUAGGGUAGCAAACGGG
Molecule: ribosomal RNA, 254 nt
Filed under: uncultured bacterium
Lineage: Bacteria
Description: partial 16S ribosomal RNA
Rfam family: Bacterial small subunit ribosomal RNA
Source: RNAcentral